Molecule: ribosomal RNA, 497 nt
Filed under: uncultured bacterium
Lineage: Bacteria
Description: partial 16S ribosomal RNA
Rfam family: Bacterial small subunit ribosomal RNA
Source: RNAcentral
GAUGAACGCUGGCGGCGUGCCUAAUACAUGCCAGUCGAGCGAACAGACGAGGAGCUUGCUCCUUCGACGUUAGCGGCGGACGGGUGAGUAACACGUAGGGAACCUAACUAUAAGACUGGGCUAACUUCGGGAAACCGGAGCUAAUACCGGAUAAUAUUUCGAACCGCAUGGUUCGAUAGUGAAAGAUGGCUUUGCUAUCACUUAUAGAUGGACCUGCGCCGUAUUAGCUAGUUGGUAAGGUAACGGCUUACCAAGGCAACGAUACGUAGCCGACCUGAGAGGGUGAUCGGCCACACUGGAACUGAGACACGGUACAGACUCCUACGGGAGGCAGAAGUAGGGACUCUUCCGCAAUGGGCGAAAGCCUGACGGAGCAACGCCGCGUGAGUGAUGAAGGUCUUCGGAUCGUAAAACUCUGUUAUUAGGGAAGAACAAACGCGUAAGUAACUGUGCACGUCUUGACGGUACCUAAUCAGAAAGCCACGGCUAACUACGUG